This 358-nucleotide transfer RNA is filed under the name uncultured Microcystis sp. Its description in RNAcentral is "partial 16S-23S ribosomal RNA intergenic spacer". The stretch from base 135 to 208 matches the Rfam family "tRNA". Lineage: Bacteria; Bacillati; Cyanobacteriota; Cyanophyceae; Chroococcales; Microcystaceae. The record is from RNAcentral.
AAGGGAGACCUAAUUCCGGUAGGAGACGAAAAAAAAGUAGUCCCUACCAAGAAUCAAUCCCAAAAGGUCGAAGCGAGGCAAGAUUGGCUUUCAAACUAGGUUCUGGGUUCAAACAAGACCUGAAUCAGGAACAAGGGCUAUUAGCUCAGGUGGUUAGAGCGCACCCCUGAUAAGGGUGAGGUCCCUGGUUCGAGUCCAGGAUGGCCCACCUGCACAGGUGGCAAAAACAAAGAAGCGAGGAAUCAGCACCUUAUCUUACUCAUAUAGUAAGAGAGAAUGCUGGCUCUGAGUAAAGAGUCCAGAGGAACCUUGGAAACUGCAUAGAGCUAGGUGAAAAAGCCAAAAAAGAAGACCGCAA